CACAGAAUUCGGGAUUUAAUAACAUCAUAACCAGAACAAUGUCGUCUGUCCGGAUAUUGGUUGUCCUCAUGGUUGUGUGCAUCCUCUCAGGGAGUUUAGUGCAGAAGGCAGAAGCAUGGUGUCGUUGCGCGGAAAUCUGUAGCAAGUCAGAAUGUUGGGUAGCAAGAUGUGGAUGGUGGGGUUGGAUUUGCUGCCACUUCCAGAGCCCUGUGUGUGAUUACAGAAUUGGGUAAUCAAGUUUAGGAACAUGCAGUCAAAAUAAAAGACUUGAAACUUGUAUGCG
Long non-coding RNA from Dreissena polymorpha, 283 nucleotides. RefSeq lists it as uncharacterized. The transcript is spliced from 3 exons. The record is from RefSeq and is a predicted model, not a curated record. NCBI's taxonomy places the organism in Eukaryota, Metazoa, Mollusca, Bivalvia, Myida, Dreissenidae.